Long non-coding RNA from Stegostoma tigrinum, 2512 nucleotides. RefSeq lists it as uncharacterized. NCBI's taxonomy places the organism in Eukaryota, Metazoa, Chordata, Chondrichthyes, Orectolobiformes, Stegostomatidae. The transcript has 3 exons. The record is from RefSeq and is a predicted model, not a curated record.
AGCUCCGGGCCGCCGCCUCUGUCCGGGAUUUCCGUUCCGCUUCUCGACGGAAAACAAAAGGUCGCCACGACCGAAAGUGAUCCUUGUAAAAAGAUAAAAGUUGAGGGCAUCGCUGGCCAGGCUGCAUUUUUGGCCCAUCCCUAAUUGCCCAGGGGGCAGUUAAGAAUCAACCAUAUCGCUGUGGGUCUGGAGUCAGAUGUAGGCCAGACCAGGUGAAAGAACACAAUGGGAGAACUCAGCCAAUCUAACAAGAAUCAGAAAAGCUUUUCUGAUGAAGGGUCCAUGCCCAAAACAUCAGCUUUUGUGCUCCUAAGAUGCUGCUUGGCCUGCUGUGUUCAUCCAGCUCCACACUUUGUUAUCCCAGUGGUGUUAAAGUUGGGUCUGAUAGAUUUCAAAUUCAAGAAAUAAACUGGAGGUGAAUACUAGUCUCACUAAUGAUGAUGAUGAAAAUAUAACUGAUGUUUUAAAAACUCACCUAGUUCACUAAGUUCUUAGGGAAGGUCAUCAGCUGUUCUUACUUGAUCUGGUCUACAUGUGACUCCAGUCCCACAGUAAUGUUGAUGACUGCCCCCUUGAGUACUAUAGCAGAUCACUCAGUUCGAAGCCAAUUACGGAUGGGAAGAAAGGGCUGGCCUUUCUGCAAUGCCCACCUCCCAUGAAACACUGAAUAAAGCUGUUUUCAACUACAUUUCUAAGGUUUUAGAGUAGAUUUUUAGCUCAGGUUGUAGAUGUUGGUUGGCUCGCCUAGCUGGUUCAUUGUUGUACCGCAGAUGUUCCUUCUUCCCGUCCCCCAUUUCUGAAGAAGGGUCUAGACCCAAAACGUCAGCUUUCCUGCUCCUCUGAAGCUGCUUGACCUGCUGGGUUCAUCCAGCUUCACACUGUGUUAUCUCAGGAUCUUUCAUGUGUUGCAUAACAUGGAGAAUGUACAAUUGAGGUUGGAAUUGAUUGACUAGUAAGAAUGGAUGUGUAAAAACUGGUAGAGUAUCACAAAUAGCAGUCCUAUGGUUUCGUUCUUCUGUCAAUCAAUUUAUGCUCCAUUCCAGGGUUCAAUAGCCAUCUAUUAUUAACACAAGGUAAAGGAUAUCAGUGGGAGUUCUUUUUAUCCAAGAUACUUUUCCAUUGACAAGACCCAUAAUUACAAAAUGUGGAUGUUUGUUCAGAAAAUGCAUCUUCACUAGUUGAGACCUGUCCCAAUCUUCCAACUAUAAGACAGUCAUUCUUAUAUCCAAAACCUGUUAACCUGUGCACUUGGAGCCCCUCUAGGGUGCUCACUUGGAGUAAAUUGUUAAUGGACAGAAUAUUCAAUGUACACAUACAUUUUCAUUUACAAUAAUCUUCAAAUACUCAAUUUCUUUAACAGAUGCAUUUUGUUUCAUGGAUGGAUGGAUGAUAUUUUUAAGUAUGUAUUGUCAUGUUCCCUACUCAAUGUUAGCAGCCUAUGCUGACUGCUUGUAAUACAAUUUAAAAUUUCCUUUUCUUGUUUGUAAAUCUUUCCAUGUCCUUUCACUAUCUCUGUAACAUCGUCCAAUAGUAUGACUCUCAUAGACCACCAUGCUCCUUCAAUUCUAGCCUCACAUACAUACCUAAUUUUAAUCACUCCACUUUCAAUGACUGUAUUUUCAAGUGAUCUGGCCUAAAGCUCUGAGUUUCCUUCCUAACUUGUUUGCUUUUCUACUUUUGUUUUACCUUUUAAGGCAUUUCUUAAAAACUAAUUCUCUGAUCAAUCCUAAAACCUGCUGAGGUGAUUCAGCAUUAAAUUGUGUUUGAUAAUAUUACCAAAAUACACUUUGAGAUGAUUAACUACAAUAAGGCACAAUAUGAAUGCAAGUUAUUGUUGCAUACUAAGGAAUAACAAUUCUGGGUUAUAAAAAAAGUGGUUGCAUUCAUUCAAUGUCAGAUACAUCAGUCAAAUAAAGCUUGGAUUAAUGUGACAUACAACUACCCAUAAAUCUUUGAUACCAGCCUUAGAGUGAACAGACCUUACUGCACCCUUGUGGCUGUUUAAUUAGCCAUACCAUAGACUCUUGAUACUGAGAAUUAAAAUGUAUCUUUUUCUAUAAAUUUAUCGUUAUUUUCCUGCAGGGCUAAUAAGAAUGGACAAUGCAGUCUGCAAUUUUGCCUCACAAUUACAGAAAGGAACAAAUGACAUUUUUCAUUUAUGUGAAAUUAGGGGCAUAUUUGGGCCAACUGGGCCUUCCCAAAGUGAUUUCACUGAAACCCAUUUAUGUCCAUUAAACACAGGAAAUGUGUGUCAGAUUCUAGAAGAUAAUUGACCCAGGUUGGAGGCACUGGAAACAACUAUUUUUACAUCACUAUAUCUCUCUAUGACUAAAUGAGAAAUUUUGAGACAAGUAUCUGCCUGAAACAUGAAUAUUGAAUAGUUGAGAGUUUGCAUUUUCAUUCUGGGAAGUGUGAAAAUAUUGAAUAUUCUGUGAAUAACCUGAUGCUUUGUUCUUGCCAUGUUAAAAUACUGUUCAGUGAAUUUUGCAAAACUCUUUUGCUUUUAAUAAAG